Long non-coding RNA from Gymnogyps californianus (California condor), 930 nucleotides. RefSeq lists it as uncharacterized. The record is from RefSeq and is a predicted model, not a curated record. NCBI's taxonomy places the organism in Eukaryota, Metazoa, Chordata, Aves, Accipitriformes, Cathartidae. The transcript has 4 exons.
GAGAAGCACAGAUUGCCACAGAUUUGCUAAUUCUUUGUCUCAAGAACACGACUAAUAAAAUACUGUCAAGACUGAGAUGUUGCAGUGUAAGGAUCCCUGCUGUUCUCAUCCAUGGACAAUAGAUGUCUCUGAAACCUGACCCCCAACCAAAAUCUUGCAGAUCUCAGCGUCAGAGAUCCUCAGAAUUUGCCCUAAAUAUAACUGCUGGCUUCUUUGAGCUUAGAACAAACUUCAGAAAAAAAUUCUUGCAGUAACCCAAGGAAUUAAUUUGCCCAAAUUGACCAAUUUGUUUCAAACUAUAUGAGAAUAUCAUCUAGACUUCUUUUUGUUUACUUCCUAUUAACUCUUCUUACAUCCUUCUCUUAAACCUUAACUACAAAUGAUUACUUUAUGAUUUAAAUGGCUAGUUAAUUUACAACUUGUUGCUUAAUUACACACUGUGUUUUUGGUCUCUUUAAUCUUACUUACAUAUUUUUAAACCAACUGGAGAAAAAAGAAAAAAAACCCAAAACAUUUCAAUGUCUCACAUGGCAUUUCAGAAUAAGUAUGUAAAAAUAGUCAUCUUCAAAACCUAAAACCCAAAUAAACAGUCUUAUACUAAGAUUCAUUCCAACAAAUAGUCUAUUUGCUAAGAUUUAAUCUUCAUGCAUAUCAUAUACCUAUGUUACAUAUGUGCAAACUGGAAUAUCAGAUAUUUAUGUCACUUUGAAAGGGUUUCAGAAGUUCAUGAAAGUAUCCAACACAGAAAUGAAACUUUAGCCAGUAGAUUUUCUGUCAAGCUGAAAGUUGCUUGUAUAAUGCUAAUAAACGUUUCUGUCACCAAAGGCCUAUAUAAAGGUAUCUAUAGAAAUCCAAAUAUACAAACUUCUUUUAUUUUGUAUGAACAUUGUUUCAGUUAAUUAUAUGAUCACUUAGGUCUUAUUAAGUAAU